Molecule: long non-coding RNA, 547 nt
Filed under: Marmota monax (woodchuck)
Lineage: Eukaryota; Metazoa; Chordata; Mammalia; Rodentia; Sciuridae
Source: RNAcentral
CAAAGGAUGUCAGUUGGUUAAACUCCUUCGUUUUCUUUUACUUUGAACUGGUAAAGGAUAAGGUAUUUGUUGAUGUACUGGUAAAGAAUAAGAUGUUUGUCGUUGUUUUGUUUUGCUUUGCAUUUCUCAGUGCUAGGGAUCAAAUGCUCUGCCUUGCUCAUGCUUGGUAAGUGCUCUACCACUGGCUUAUAUUCCCAGCCCAGUAAGAUGGCUUUUUAAUGUUCCUAAUCCUUUUAUAAUAUAGCACAUCUAUUUCUGAAAAGUUAAAGAGAAACUAAAUUUGUAACAGAAGUAUCUGAGUAUUUAUAUAACACUACUUGUUUUCUGUUUUCCCUAACUCUUAAAUAUAGUUCCUGUGGGUUUUUACGUUACCAAUAAAAGAAAUAUACUAAAUGGAAGAGGAAUUUUAAAAGGAAAAAAGCAUCCAGAAAAGAGACAAUAAGUUCAAAUUGUCCUGCCUCAUCAUGGUUCUCAUUAAAGCACCAUGAAUCCUAUAUGUACAAUUCAUUCCUACCCCAACCCAGCUCUUUUAAAUACUUAGAAACUG